Molecule: long non-coding RNA, 852 nt
Filed under: Brassica napus (rape)
Lineage: Eukaryota; Viridiplantae; Streptophyta; Magnoliopsida; Brassicales; Brassicaceae
Description: long non-coding RNA (BNAP_LNC018337)
Source: RNAcentral
UUGAGAGCUUUAUUAUGCAUUUCAAAUAUCUUUUAUGUCAUUUUCAGGUCUAGGUGCAUUUUGGAGCACUUUGGAGAUUAUAGACUAAAAUGGAGCUUAAAGUGAUGAAAAGCGGUAGCUGUGCAGAAAGUGGAGUCAAGCCUUGACGUGAGCGUCGAAUGACGCCACCUUGGUGUAGAUCGAUGUUGUUGAGAACUAGAAAAGCUGACCAACUCUAUGGAAUUGCACUUUUUCCCAGAAGUUUCCUUAUUUGAAAAGAAGGCCUUGGACGUGUUUAACCUAUAUUAGUUUAUUUUAUGGUCACUGUUUAGGCUAGGCUUCAUUUUUGGAUAGCAGAUAUUAGGAUUGGAGAUAGAGAUCUGAACUCCUUUAGAGAGAAGAUUUUGAACUCUCUUGUUACUCUAUUCUAUUUAUGCAAUUUAUUCAGAUAUAUCUAUGAUGUUAUUUAUUAAUAAGUCUGAGUAAUCAAUUUUGUUAGAUUUAGGGUCUUUCAAGGGUCAUCAAAUAGAUUGUUAAACUCAUAGAAUUGCUAGGAAAAUCAAUUAGUUCUUCAUCUGGCUGACCUAAAUAAUUAGUUAAGGAUUGAUCAUCUUAAACCUAGAUCUUAGGAUAAUAAAGACAUGCGAGAGCAUGGUCAAUUACCUGAACCAAGUUUAGAUGAAUUAAAUUAUUAGGCACAGUGAGAGUUGGUCUAAGUGUUUAGUGAGCAUAUCAAACCUGAGUUUAAUGCUUGUCUGAAGUAACUGAAUUCACAACGAGAGUUGAAAUUCUAAGUUAACAUUAGAUAAUCAUUGCAGCAAGAGUUGAAUGGUUGUUAUAUGAGUUUGAGUUCGAGGCGGUUCUUUAAGAAUC